Molecule: ribosomal RNA, 253 nt
Filed under: uncultured bacterium
Lineage: Bacteria
Description: partial 16S ribosomal RNA
Rfam family: Bacterial small subunit ribosomal RNA
Source: RNAcentral
UACGUAGGUGGCGAGCGUUGUCCGGAUUUACUGGGCGUAACGAGCGCGCAGGCGGUCGUCCAAGUCGCGUGUGAAAGCCCCCGGCUCAACUGGGGAGGGUCACGCGAUACUGAUCGACUCGAAGGCAGGAGAGGGUAGUGGAAUUCCCGGUGUAGUGGUGAAAUGCGUAGAUAUCGGGAGGAACACCAGUGGCGAAGGCGACUACCUGGCCUGUUCUUGACGCUGAGGCGCGAAAGCUAGGGGAGCAAACGGG